AGUGAACGCUGGCGGCAGGCCUAACACAUGCAAGUCGAACGGCAGCACAGUAAGAGCUUGCUCUUACGGGUGGCGCGUGGCGGACGGGUGAGGAAUACAUCGGAAUCUACUUUUUCGUGGGGGAUAACGUAGGGAAACUUACGCUAAUACCGCAUACGUCCUACGGGUGACAGCAGGGGAUCUUCGGACCUUGCGCGAUUGAUUGAGCCGAUGUCGGAUUAGCUAGUUGGCGGGGUAAAGGCCCACCAAGGCGACGAUCCGUAGCUGGUCUGAGAGGAUGAACAGCCACACUGGAACAGAGACACGGCACAGACUCCGACGGGAGGAAGCAGUGGGGAAUAUUGGGCAAUGGGGGAAAGCCUGAUCCAGCCAUACCGCGUGGGUGAAGAAGGCCUUCGGGUUGUAAAGCCCUUUUGUUGGGAAAGAAAAACAGCAGUUUAAUACCCCGCUGUUCUGACGGUACCCAAAGAAUAAGCACCGGCUAACUUCGUG
This 492-nucleotide ribosomal RNA is filed under the name uncultured bacterium. Its description in RNAcentral is "partial 16S ribosomal RNA". It matches the Rfam family "Bacterial small subunit ribosomal RNA", at positions 29 to 507 of the family's 1533-position model. The record is from RNAcentral.